RNAcentral lists this ribosomal RNA (368 nucleotides) under uncultured organism. RNAcentral describes it as "bacterial SSU rRNA". It matches the Rfam family "Bacterial small subunit ribosomal RNA", at positions 526 to 896 of the family's 1533-position model. The record is from RNAcentral.
CGGAGGGUGCAAGCGUUAUCCGGAUUUACUGGGUUUAAAGGGUGUGUAGGCGGGCUUUUAAGUCAGUGGUGAAAUCUCCGGGCUCAACCUGGAAACUGCCAUUGAUACUAUUAGUCUUGAAUUUUGUUGAGGUGGGCAGAAUAUGUCAUGUAGCGGUGAAAUGCAUAGAUAUGACAUAGAAUACCAAUUGCGAAGGCAGCUCGCUAAACAAAUAUUGACGCUGAGGCACGAAAGCGUGGGGAUCAAACAGGAUUAGAUACCCUGGUAGUCCACGCCCUAAACGAUGAUUACUCGACAUACGCGAUACACAGUGUGUGUCUGAGCGAAAGCAUUAAGUAAUCCACCUGGGAAGUACGAUCGCAAGAUUG